UCUACGGCCAUACCAUCCUGAACGUGCCCAAUGUCCUCUGAUCUUUGAAGCUAAGCAAGGUCGGCCCUAGUUAGUACUUGGAUGGGAGUUAUGCAAGGAUUGUGAGGGCAUUAAGAA
RNAcentral lists this ribosomal RNA (117 nucleotides) under Otolemur garnettii (small-eared galago). The record is from RNAcentral. Lineage: Eukaryota; Metazoa; Chordata; Mammalia; Primates; Galagidae.